Molecule: ribosomal RNA, 387 nt
Filed under: uncultured bacterium
Lineage: Bacteria
Description: bacterial SSU rRNA
Rfam family: Bacterial small subunit ribosomal RNA
Source: RNAcentral
AUUGAACGCUGGCGGCAGGCCUAACACAUGCAAGUCGAGCGGUAGAGAGGUGCUUGCAUCUCUUGAGAGCGGCGGACGGGUGAGUAAUGCCUAGGAAUCUGCCUAGUGGUGGGGGAUAACGUUCGGAAACGGACGCUAAUACCGCAUACGUCCUACGGGAGAAAGCGGGGGAUCUUCGGACCUCGCGCCAUUAGAUGAGCCUAGGUCGGAUUAGCUAGUUGGUGAGGUAAUGGCUCACCAAGGCGACGAUCCGUAACUGGUCUGAGAGGAUGAUCAGUCACACUGGAACUGAGACACGGCCCAGACUCCUACGGGAGGCAGCAGUGGGGGAAUAUUGGACAAUGGGCGAAAGCCUGAUCCAGCAAUGCCGCGUGAGUGAUGAAGGCC